Pelobates cultripes (western spadefoot toad) is the source of this 157-nucleotide non-coding RNA. The record is from the annotation of a GenBank genome assembly. Lineage: Eukaryota; Metazoa; Chordata; Amphibia; Anura; Pelobatidae.
GCAGACACAUUCCAGCCAAUCAGCAGCAGACCCUCCCUCCCAGACCCUCCCUCCUCCUGGACAGCAUCCAUUGUGAAGCUGCAUUCUUAGUGAGCUGUCCAGGAGGUGGGAGGGUCUGGGAGGGAGGGUCUGCUGCUGAUUGGCUGGAAUGUGUCUG